AGCCCGUUCUGUGUGUUUUAUAACUGUGGAAGGUUGGUUAAGAGGAAUAAUGUUAGACUCACCUCAUAGAUGGGUCACGUGGCCAAUUGGAAAAGCUCGCCAGACGGUAUUCUGAAGAAUUAAGAACUUAUUAUCAAGAUGUGAUGGAACGUCUGGAGGAACUGAGACGUCGGCGUAUCGCUAUUGACAAACCUCCACUCACGAUGAAUAACGUUGGGUUAAAUUUUCCUACGUCACAGCUGUGUUUUCGUCCCGGAAAGUACUCGCCGUCCAGUUGCCUGAGUGAUCUAGAAUAUGAAAAUAUUUAUGGAAUGUAUGAAACAGCCGAAUACAAAAGCACCAUAGCAAUGUCACCAGAAAGGUAGGCUUAACCGAUGUCUCAACAAAUUAAAAUUAUAACUGAGCACGUAAUCAUAGUGACAGAGCAUUAAAAAGCAACAUUGUUCAUUUUCUUCUGGACUACUUUCUUUUGGUGUUAAUGUAUGCGCACAGUACAGGAAGUGACUUAAAUUCACAGAAUCUGAAGUGUAAUAUUUAU
Molecule: long non-coding RNA, 538 nt
Organism: Limulus polyphemus (Atlantic horseshoe crab)
Lineage: Eukaryota; Metazoa; Arthropoda; Merostomata; Xiphosura; Limulidae
Exons: 4
Source: RefSeq, a predicted model, not a curated record